GACGAACGCUGGCGGCGUGCUUAACACAUGCAAGUCGAACGGAAAGGCCCCUUUUGGGGUGCUCGAGUGGCGAACGGGUGAGUAACACGUGGGUGAUCUGCCCUGCACUUUGGGAUAAGCCUGGGAAACUGGGUCUAAUACCGGAUAGGACCGGAUGCUGCAUGGUGUGUGGUGGAAAGCUUUUGCGGUGUGGGAUGGGCCCGCGGCCUAUCAGCUUGUUGGUGGGGUGAUGGCCUACCAAGGCGACGACGGGUAGCCGGCCUGAGAGGGUGUCCGGCCACACUGGGACUGAGAUACGGCCCAGACUCCUACGGGAGGCAGCAGUGGGGAAUAUUGCACAAUGGGCGCAAGCCUGAUGCAGCGACGCCGC
Molecule: ribosomal RNA, 370 nt
Filed under: uncultured bacterium
Lineage: Bacteria
Description: bacterial SSU rRNA
Rfam family: Bacterial small subunit ribosomal RNA
Source: RNAcentral